RNAcentral lists this ribosomal RNA (506 nucleotides) under uncultured bacterium. Its description in RNAcentral is "partial 16S ribosomal RNA". It matches the Rfam family "Bacterial small subunit ribosomal RNA", at positions 29 to 523 of the family's 1533-position model. The record is from RNAcentral.
AGUGAACGCUGGCGGUAGGCCUAACACAUGCAAGUCGAACGGCAGCACAGGAGAGCUUGCUCUCUGGGUGGCGAGUGGCGGACGGGUGAGGAAUACAUCGGAAUCUACUCUGUCGUGGGGGAUAACGUAGGGAAACUUACGCUAAUACCGCAUACGACCUACGGGUGAAAGCAGGGGACCUUCGGGCCUUGCGCGAUUGAAUGAGCCGAUGUCGGAUUAGCUAGUUGGCGGGGUAAAGGCCCACCAAGGCGACGAUCCGUAGCUGGUCUGGGAGGAUGAUCAGCCACACUGGAACUGAGACACGGUCCAGACUCCUACGGGAGGCAGCAGUGGGGAAUAUUGGACAAUGGGCGCAAGCCUGAUCCAGCCAUACCGCGUGGGUGAAGAAGGCCUUCGGGUUGUAAAGCCCUUUUGUUGAGAAAGAAAUCCAGCUGGCUAAUACCCGGUUGGGAUGACGGUACCCAAAGAAUAAGCACCGGCUAACUUCGUGCCAGCAGCCGCCGUAA